Molecule: long non-coding RNA, 2312 nt
Organism: Acipenser ruthenus (sterlet)
Lineage: Eukaryota; Metazoa; Chordata; Actinopteri; Acipenseriformes; Acipenseridae
Exons: 3
Source: RefSeq, a predicted model, not a curated record
UGGUAUUUUACAGAAUCAAUGUGAGGUGAGAUGUCAUUCAUAAUUUCUCCAGAAGUUAAUCGUUUCUGUUAUUAACGACUAAAUCUUGUUUUUAGAUAACUUGGAAAAACUCAUUAAAUCAUAAGAAUAAAUCCUGAAUAAUGUUGUUAGACUGAAACUCCUCCUAAUAAUCAACUUUUGUCACUUCAGAGGUCAAAUUCCUACUCAAACCAAAAGUAGAAUACUAUUACGUUUUUUGUUUGUGUUUUAUUUUUUAUUUAUGUAUGUAUUUAUUUAUUUAUUUGGAGGGAGACACAUCCAGCUAUUAAAUCAGAAACUACACCCAAGUCUUUGAUUGACGCCACUAACCAGAUCAACUAUGCAAUUGUCCUGUCACACUGGAGGAUAUAGUUUGUCCUUUUCAGAUCUUUUUGCGGUCUGGGCUUGCUGUUCCUAGAUCCAGUAGUCAGGAAGCCCUUACCCCAAAAAGUAUUUGCAAAGGAUACAGUCGGCAAUCGGCAGAAAGGUGCAGUCAUUUCUACAAGUUCAAAUAAAGGAGACUGUGCAGUGCCUAAUUGUGCCUUAACCACUUCAAGUCCAGAUGUAAAAAUGAAACCCCUUCCCAGGUACCAGAUUUUGAAAAUAAUAAUAAUAAUAAUAAUAAUGUUUUCAAACCUGUAAUUGCUAUAAAACAUAUGAUGAAUAACACACAAAUAAAUGACCUAAACUGUGUUUUUCAUUACCCCUUUCUGCUCCUGUGUACUACAUACCCAUGUUCAAUAUAGAGAUAAAAACACUUUUUUUUUUUUUGGACAAUGAAAACAAAAACGCUGCUAAUAACAAUAAUAAUCAGUAAACAGUAAUUAUCAAAUAAAAAUUAAACAACACCAAAACGUGUGUCAUUAUUGACUUGCUCUGUGCCAUUUAUUGAAAUGUUCAAUACAACAGAACCCCGGGGUUGCCUUUGCAACCACUGCACAUUUUUCUUGUGUCCUUUUUUUUUGUUUUCAUUUUCGUAGCAGACCCUGCACCUUUUUUGCGGUCUCUGCUUCCCUUGUGUUGGAGGGACUGCCAUUUCAAACCAAACAGCUUCCCGUUUGCAGCUGACUUACCUGUAAAGUAGCUGCAUGCUCUUUUGUUUGUACAGUUUGUACUGUUCUUGGCUCCACAUCCUCUUCAUCAUCAUCGCUGAGUGAUAAGUCAGCAUCACUGUCGCUUCACUCCCGUUGUCGCUCUCCACGUAUGUUGUUAUGUUUAGCUUUCACUAAAAAGUAUAAAUAAACUACAACUAAACAAGUAAAACUAAUAAUAAAACAAAAACUAAUAAUUUAAAACACUAUAUAUAUAUAUACUUGUAAAAGUUGAAUGGCUUCUCGCAAUAUAUCUCAGUCUUCUAAACGCCCACAGCUAGAUUGGACCCUCCCCCGACUUUCAUUACACAUUCCACAGUACUGCACUGCCUUAGAGAAUGAAACCUGAAACACUAGAUUGAAAAACCGAUCAUAGAAUAGAAUGGGAAACUUGACGUACGCAGGUACGGCAUGAUAGUGUAAGUGGGUUUUCAUUUGACGUACAUGCGUACGUCAUGGUGCUGAAGUGGUUAACCAGGCAGGCUCUUUUCAAGUGCAGGUAUAGAGAUUUUAAACUGAUCUGAAUGGCAAAGCAGCCCACAAUACUGCCCACUAUACUUACACUGUAACUAACAGACACCUUUUCAUCAGAAAAGGUCUCUGCUACCUGCUGAUUCUUAAUUUGAAGCUGAAUACCAGUAGACAUGCUUUAAAUUAGAACGUUUAAAUGUUAAACUUUUGUAUAAAAUCAUUAUUUAAUAUCAAAGGUAAAUGGUCUAUUUUUACAAUUGUCAGAAGCAAAGCAAGAUUUAAAAGAAAAAGAACAAAAGAAACUAUGACCUCACACUCUGGCAGGCUCUCAAUCAGCUGCAAAAGCAUUUAGGCCAAUAAAACAAAGUACCACUUAUAAAAAUAAAGAUCAAAGCAAAACAAAACGUUUCAUGCGAGCAUCAGCACUAUUUCUGUUAGAUUUUUUAAAUAUAUUUCAAUAAUGUUUAGGUUGAAUGCAUUGUAGUUUUUUCAAAGCUUUUAUUUUGUUUUAUUUUUAAUCUUAAAAACUUUAAAGCUUACAGUAAACACACAGCAUAUUUUAAAUUAAUCACAAACAAUUUCAGGGACUGAAGUUCUGGUUCGGUUUUAAUUCAGAAAUGAGCAUGCAGUGGCAGAAUCGUUAGUAGGCCAUGCAUCAUUAAUGGAUGGCUCAGCAUGUAGGUCUGUUCUGAUGCGAUGUGUAACAGUGGGAAAAAAAUGACAUCACUCCAG